This is an RNA transcript of Zea mays, 1572 nucleotides long. RefSeq lists it as uncharacterized. NCBI's taxonomy places the organism in Eukaryota, Viridiplantae, Streptophyta, Magnoliopsida, Poales, Poaceae. The transcript is spliced from 5 exons. The record is from RefSeq and is a predicted model, not a curated record.
UAGGGUUUUAGCACCUGCCGCCACAACCUCCCUUCUACUGCCGCCGCAACCUCCCUUCUACUGCCGCUGCAACCUCCCCAUCCUUCGAAUCCCAUCUGACCUAGCCCCGCAACCCGCCGGACGACGAGCAGCGAGGUCCGCGGCAGAGAUGGACCGGUACCUGAGGGUGGAGCGGUCGUGGAACGAGUCAACCAUUGAGGAUAACGAGAUCCGCAUCACCGCGCAGGGCCUCAUCUGCAACUAUGUCUCCUACGGUAGCUCCCUCCUCCAGACCUCUAUGCUGGGUUGAACAUAUGUCGUUGGACAAUGAAACUGGAUUAGACAAACCUGGAAUAAGGGCCAGGUCAGUCACAGGCCUUGUUGCAGCAGACUAUUUCGUCCCUGGAUAUUUUUUUGGGCUAUCUUAAUUGCCAAUUUAGCUCGUAUUGGAUAUGAAGAAAAGACCAUGUACAUGGCUGCAUAUGAUUGGAGGUUAUCUUUCCAGAACACUGAGGUUCGUGAUCAAACUUUGAGCAGAAUAAAGAGCAAUAUUGAACUCAUGGUAGCAACAAAUGGUGGAAAUGGGGUGGUCGUGAUCCCACACUCCAUGGGGGUCCUCUAUUUUCUGCAUUUUAUGAAAUGGGUCGAAGCACCUCCUCCCAUGGGGGGCGGUGGUGGUCCGAACUGGUGUGAGAACCAUAUUAAAGCUGUAAUGAAUAUUGGAGGACCUUUCUUAGGAGUUCCCAAGGCUGUUGCUGGGCUUUUCACAUCUGAAGCCAAAGAUGUUGCCGUUGCUAGGUAUAAGGUAAUUGAUUCAUUUAUUUAAAGCAAAAGGGAAUAGCAAAAGAAUGGAAUAUUAUUGGAUGCUCGACAAUCUUGGCGGAGCUUUUGUAAGUAAACAAUAUUUUCUAGUUUUGGUACCUACAAUCUUCUGUACUUCCCCAUUUGUCUGAUGCUUCAGGUUGGUUUUUUUUUCUGUCGGCUCCCAAGCCAUCUUCUGGACCUCACAAGUCCAGGGAGUGCCUGCCUCUGAUCCUCAUCAUUAGGAACAAGCUCAAGUAUGCACUGACGUACCGUGAGGUCAUUUCUAUCCUGAUGCAACGCCAUGUACUUGUUGAUGGCAAGGUCAGGACUGACAAGACCUACCCUGCUGGGUUUAUGGAUGUCAUUUCUAUCCCUAAGACAAACGAGAACUACAGGCUGCUUCCGUCUUCACCCAAUCAGGGAUGAGGAUGCCAAGGUUAGGCCAUUGUCUGAUGUUUGACGUCGGCAACGUGGUCAUGGUGACCGGCGGGAGGAACACCGGGCGUGUAGGAGUGAUCAAGAACAGGGAGAAGCAGAAGGGCAGCUUCGAGACCAUCCACGUGCUGGUUGGAGCUUUUUGCUAUGUCUAGUUUUAUCCUUUUUGUUGUACAGGAAAACAUAGAAUGAAAUUCAAAUUUGGUGGCCGCAAAAGUGUGGAGACUUGAUUUCAUAUAAAGUUAGGCUUAACAUUAGUGCAAACUGUUGUAUUUUAGUCUAGAUUUAGAGUACACUUAUGUAUGCGUUGUUUGACAAUGCUUAUUUAUGAUAUAUUGAAUGAUACUUAUUUUA